CAGAGUUGCAAAACUCCCACAAACCAUCGCGAAUCUUACCCGUACGGUUGCCUCGGCGCUGGCGGUCCGGAAGGCCCUCGGGCCCCCCGGAUCCUCGGGUCUCCCGCUCGCGGGAGGCUGCCCGCCGGAGUGCCGAAACCAAACUCUUGAUAUUUUAUGUCUCUCUGAGUAAACUUUUAAAUAAGCCA
RNAcentral lists this unclassified non-coding RNA (188 nucleotides) under soil metagenome. RNAcentral describes it as "partial internal transcribed spacer 1". The record is from RNAcentral.